Carassius gibelio (silver crucian carp) is the source of this 7155-nucleotide RNA transcript. It is a transcript of the gene named mucin-2-like, with no coding region annotated. The record is from RefSeq and is a predicted model, not a curated record. NCBI's taxonomy places the organism in Eukaryota, Metazoa, Chordata, Actinopteri, Cypriniformes, Cyprinidae. The transcript is spliced from 11 exons.
ACAAGCAUUCCAUCUGAGAAUACAACUACAUCAUUUGCAAACAAUGCCACAACCCCACUGCUGUCAACGCAUGAUGCUAGUAAUGUCCCAUCUCCACCUUCAUCUACUCAAGGCAACGUGACAAGCUUAUCUACAGUUGUACCAGAAAAUGCUACCAGUUCAUCAGCGAUUACACCAGGAAAUGCCACAGCUUCACCUGCGCCUGUAACAACAGCAGCACCCAGCACGACAAGUCCACUUGUGCCUACACCAGAGAAUGCUACGAACCAUCCUGUAACUUCCACAGACAAUGCCACAACUGGUUCUUUACCGGAGGCAGGCAACAGCACAACCCCACUCCAAACUACAAUAAGCAAUGACACUACUCCUCCCAUUAGCACACCAGGCAACAGCACAACUUCACCAAUUAUAACACCAAUCAAUGUCACAAAUACAACGCAGAAUACACCAGGUAAUGCUACAACAGCAAACCUUGCCACAGCUCCACCCUUAACCACAUAUAUUUCAAAUCAAAAUACACCAGGAAAUAAUGCAACAGUGAAUGCUACCAUACCACCCCUGACUACACCAGUAAAUGCAACUGCACCACCUCCAACUACAACAGGGAAUAAUGCAAUAGUAAACACUACCACACCACCCACAACUACACAAGAAAAUAAUGCAACAGUAAACACUACUACACCACCCAUGACUACAACAGGAAAUAAUGCAACAGUAGACAGUACAACACCACCCAUAACUACACCAAUGAAUGCAACUAGACCACCUCUAACUACACCCAGGAACAAUGCAACAGUAAACGCUACCACACCACCCAUAACUACAGAAGAAAAUAAUGUAACAGUAAACACUACUACACCACCCAUGACUACACCAGGAAAUAAUGCAACAGUAAACAUUACCACACCAUCCAUAACUGCACCAGUAAAUGCUACUACACCAUCUAUAACUACACCAGGGAACAAUGCAACAGUAAGCAUUACCAUUGCACCAAUAACUACACCUGGGAAUAAUGCAACAGUAAACGUUACCACACCACAUAUGACUACACCAGUAAAUGCUACUAUAUCACCUUUAACUACACCAUGGAAUAAUGCUACAGUAAAUGGUACCACACCACCCAUGACUACACCAAUAAAUGCUACUAUACCACCUUUAACUACACCAGGUAAUAAUGCAACAGUAAAUGAUACCACACCACCCAUAACUACACCUGAGAAUAAUGCAACAGUAAACGUUACCACAACACCCAUGACUACGCCAGUAAAUGCUACUAUACAACCUUUUACUACACCAGAGAAUAAUGCAACAGUAAAUGCUACCACACAACCCAUGACAUCACCAGUAAAUGCUACUGGACCACCUUUAACUACACAAGGGAAUAAUGCAACAGUAAAUGGUACCACACCACCCAUUACUACACCAGAGAAUAAUGUAACAGUAAGCAAUACCACUCCACCAAUAACUACACCUGGGAAUAAUGCAACAGUAAAUGUUACCACACCACCCAUGACUACACCAGUAAAUGCUAGUAUUCUACCUUUAACUACACCAGGGAAUAAUGCAACAGUAAAUGGUACCACACCACCCAUAACUACACUUGAGAAUAAUGCAACAGUAAACAUUACCACAACACCCAUGAAUACGCCAGUAAAUGCUACUAUACAACCUUUUACUACACCAGACAAUAAUGCAACAGUAAAUGCUACCACACAACCCAUGACAUCACCAGUAAAUGCUACUGCACCACCUUUAACUACACAAGGGAAUAAUGCAACAGUAAAUGGUACCACACCACCCAUUACUACACCAGUGAAUAAUGCAACAGUGAGCAAUACCACUCCACCAAUAACUACACCUGGGAAUAAUGCAACAGUAAAUGUUACCACACCACUCAUGACAACACCAGUAAAUGCUAGUAUUCCACCUUUAACUACACCUGGGAAUAAUGCAACAGUAAAUGGUACCACACCACCCAUAACUACACUCGAGAAUAAUUCAACAGUAAACGUUACCACAACACCCAUGACUACACCAGUAAAUGCUACUAUACAACCUUUUACUACACCAGAGAAUAAUGCAACAGUAAAUGCUACUACACCACCCGUGACUACACCAGGGAAAAAUGCAACAGUAAAUGCUACCACACAACCCAUGACGUCACCAGUAAAUGCUACUGCACCACCUUUAACUACACAAGGGAAUAAUGCAACAGUAAAUGGCACCACACCACCCAUUACUACACCAGAGAAUAAUGUAACAGUAAGCAAUACCACUCCACCAAUAACUACACCUGGGAAUAAUGCAACAGUAAAUGUUACCACACCACCCAUGACUACACCAGUAAAUGCUACUAUACCACCUUUAAUUACACCAGAGAAUAAUGUAACAGUAAGCAAUAACACUCCACCAAUAACUACACCUGGGGAUAAUGCAACAGUAAAUGUAACCACACCACCCAUGACUACACCAGUAAAUGCUAGUAUACCACCUUUAACUACACAAGGGAAUAAUGCAACAGUAAAUGGUACCACGCCACCCAUAACUACACCAGAGAAUAAUGCAACAGUAAACGUUACCACAACACCCAUGACUACCCCACUAAAUGCUAUUACACCAGAGAAUAAUGCAACAGUAAAUGUUACUACACCACCCAUGACUACACCAGUAAAUGCUACUAUACCACCUUCAAUUACACCAGGUAAUAGCUCAACAGUAAAUGGUACUACACCACCCAUAACUACACUAGAGAAUAAUGCAACAGUAAACGUUACCACAACACCCAUGACUACACCAGUAAAUGCUACUAAACCACCUUUAACUACAUUAGAGAAUAAUGCAACAGUAAACGCUACCACACCACCCAUGACUACAACAGGAAACGAUGCAACAGUAAAUGCUACCACACAACCCAUGACCUCACCUGUUAAUGCGACUGCACCACAUUUAACUACACAAGGGAAUAAUGCAACAGUAAAUGGUACCACACCACCCAUUACUACACCAGAGAAUAAUGCAACAGUAAGCAAUACCACUCCACCAAUAACUACACCUGGCAAUAAUGCAACAGUAAAUGUUACUACCCCACCCAUGACUACAUCAGAGAAUAAUACAACAGUAAAUGCUACUACACCACCCAUGACUACACCAGAGAAUAAUACAACAGUAAAUGCUACUAAACCACCCAUGACUACACCAGGGACCAAUGCAACAGUAAAUGCUACCACACCACCCAUGACCACACGAGUAAAUGCUACUGCGCCCCCUUUAACUACACCAGGAAACAAUGCAACAGUAAACGCAACCAUACCACCUAUGACUACACCAGGGAACAAUGCAACAGUAAAUGCUACCACACCACCCAUGACCACACAAGUAAAUGCUACUGCGCCACCUUUAACUACACCAGGAAACAAUGCAACAGUAAACGCAACCAUACCACCUAUGACUACACCAGGGAACAAUGCAACAGUAAAUGGUACCACACCACCCAUUCCUACAACAGUAAAUGCUACAACACCACCUUCAACUACACCAGGAAACAAUGCAACAGUAAACACAACCAUACCACCUAUGACCACACCUGUAAAUGUUACUACACCACUUCUAACUACAUCAGUUAAUAGCACAACAGUUAAUGCUACCACACCACCCAUGACUACACCAGGGAAUAAUGAAACAACAACAGUAAAUGCCACUACACCACCCAUCACUACUCCAGUAAAGUCUACCUUGCUACCCCUAACUACAUCAGGGAACAAUGCAACAGUGAAUGCCACCACACCACCCAUGUCUACAACAGCAAAUGCUAGUACACCACCCAUCACUACUCCAGUAAAUGCUACUACACCACCCCCUACUACACCAGGGAACAAUGCAACUGUAAAUGUUUCCACACCAUCCAUCACUACUCCAGUAAAUGCUACUUCACAACCUCAAACUACACCAGGGAACAAUGCAACAGUAAAUGCUACCACACCAUCCAUAACUACACCAGGAAACACUACAACAGAGAAUGCUACCCGACCACCUCAGUCUACACCAGGAAAUGCUACUACACCCAUAACCAACUCAACAACUGGACCCACUGUCUCUACCACUAACCCAACUAACACUACAACCACACCAGCUACCUGUCCUGCGGUGCCCUGCCCACCGCUGAGUGUCUGUGUGAACUCCACCUGUCAGUGCGUGACAGGAUCUAUUCCUUUAAAUAACGCCUGUGUUGAAACUAAAACCUUCACUAGUUCACUUCGAGUGAACCGCACUUUUGUAGAUGCUAUGAAUGAUCCCAAAUCACCUGAAUUCCAGGAAACUGCUAAAGAGAUAAUUGCUGCGGUAAAUGAAGCUCUGCAUAACCAGCCAAACUACAUUAACAGCAUAGUAAUUAAACUGAUGUCUGGCAGUAUAGUGGCCUCAGUAAACAGUUUUUUUGAGCCCAAUUCUCCAGUCACACAGGAAUCGGUUAUAUCUGCCAUGAAUACUGCUAUAAGUGAUUGUAAAGUGACCAACUGUGGCAUUCUUGCUAAUGCUGAAUACGCUGCUACCGACCUGUGUGCGCAAGUUCCUCCUCCUUGUGAUACUAACACUACAACGUGUGAGGCCAAAGAUGGGACCCCUGUUUGUUCCUGUAAACCUGGCCAUGUAUCUAGCCAAUACCAGACCAGAAGCUGUAGAGUUUGCCCUAGUGGCUACAAAGCGCAAGAGAACGAGUGUGUUAGAUGUCCAUUUGGCUAUUCUGGAUUCAACUGUGAUGACUCCUCUUUGUUGGCUCUAGUGGUGGUGGCGUGUGUGUUAGGAGGAAUUCUACUCAUUGUGAUUUUGGCAGUUCUAAUCUACAUCUGUGUGACUCGUGGCAAGAAGUCAUCAAACAGCAAUUAUUACAGCACUCCGUACCCUGCCGAGGAGUUCCAGGCCACAUGGCCCUCUCAGAACGUCACCCAUAUUCCUCGUGUCACUCUGACAUCUAAUUCCAGCACUGAUGCCACUGGCAACAGUCUAGAGAUGGCUGAAGGGCCAAGCAGGAAAGGCCACAGUAAUGGAUUGGUGAGUGUCUCCUUCCGUUCAAAACUUCACAAAUAAACUAUAAACCAGUUAAACCAUUUGAUUCUUAGAGCAGUCACACUUAUCUUUAACUUACAGUGGGGUUUGUAUCAAUUCAAAGACUAGCUUAUUUGUGGACCUUUUUCACUGAAUAAUAAAUUAUUGUAAAAUUAAGUUACUGUAAGAUACUUUAAGGAUGCAUAAGCACUACUGUUCAAUCUGGGGUCAAGUUCCAACUGUUUUCAACCUUGAUAACAAAAGUUUAUUAGCAACAAAUCAGCAUAUUAGAUAAAUUGACACUAAAGAUUGAAAAUUCAAAUUUGUCAUCAAUAAAUUAAACUUUUAAAUAUAAAGUUAUUUUAAAUUGUAUUUUUUUCACAAUAUUUUUUUACUGUAUUUUAUCAUCAAAUAAAUGGUAAACAAGAGUUUUUUCAAAAACCAUUAAAAAUCUAACUGACCCCCCAACAUUUGCAGUAGUCUAAAAUUAUAUUAUUUAUAUACUAUAUGGCAUAUAAUAUAUUAUAUAUUACUAAUAAUUAUACCUCUUUUUUUUAUAUCAUUCUAAGAAUUGCCCCACUGUAAGUUACAAAAAAUUCUUCCAUUAAUCCUGCAUGUAUCUCAUAUUUACACUAACAAUAGUAUCAUCUGCCACCACUAACAAAUACUAAAUAUAUUGUUCAAUCAAACCCUUGUCCAUUUCCAAAUUUACUCUGCUUGCCAAACUGAACUACAAUACUCCUAAUUGAUCCAACGAUUGGAUUAUUCUAAUUUUCUCUGAUGAAUUACUUGACUGAAUGACUGAAGUCCAUUAUGAGCAGUUGUAGUCAUGACAAGGCCACAUAUUAAGGAAGUCUAUUGCAUUAAUGAAACAACUGCUUUUGUGGUUAGCAGAAAGCUAACAGUAGUACAAAGUACUACAGAUUUAAUAACUUUAAUGUUUGAAAUCAUAAUUUUAUCAUAAUGGAUGUACAAGUUUUGUGAUUGGUUUGCUCAUAAACAAACCUCUUUGUGUGUGUGUGUGUGUGUUUGUGCACGUAUUUGUGGUCACUUUGUUGUGUUUGUGGUAUCCCGUAUAUGGGCUUGAUUUCUCCUCACUCCAAACACAAUGACUGUAGAAGAUUGGAGGAAAGUCGGGCUCGUAUGACCUCAGAACAGAUGGCAUGAGGACCUUUAAGGACAUAAACCCCACACGGUACUCUUAUCUGACGGGUCAAGAAAACCCCUACUUCAUACAAGGAGACGAGAAGAGAUGAGGAAAACAACAGAGAAAGCCAGUGAGAAGUAAGAGGACAAGAAAAGAGUGCAAUAAAGACAUGAUUUUAAAAAGGCCUUGGAUCAAAAUGUUUCAGGAACGUUAACAAUGUCAAAACCAAACUGUUGAUCACAGACUCCAGGUAUAUACAUAAACGGCAUUUGAAAGAUACUGUUUUUCUGCACAUUUCAUAUUCAGUGUUUUGUUAUAUGACAGAGAUCAUGCAUAUGUUACGGUGGUUUUCAACUCAAAAUACAUUUUACAUUAUUAUUAAGUACAAAAUAUCAAACCAUAUUUUGGCACAUUUGAUUAAAAUUUCUUAUCUGUGGAAGCAGUAAGGGCAGAUUUUACAGUGUAGUCCAGUAAUUCUGAUGCAUCUAAUCUAUAUUCUGACAGUUACUGCACUUUGUAGGAGAGAGCAUGUCAUGUCAUGUUGGUGUUUUAAGUUAUAUCUAUCAGAAAGCUUCUGAUACUUUCAGUUCUUAAGUUUUGGGGGCAAUCCAUCUUUCCCAAAGAAUGUAUUUAUUUUAUGCCAGGACAAUGCAUGCCACCAGAAAUUGAUCUCUGUGCCUGACUGCAAUGUUGUCUUUUGAAUAGGAGAAUUAUGCAAUAAUGAGAAGUUCUCAACCAUGUCUCCUCUGUAGUCGUGCCAAUACUUAUAUUUAUUUAAAUCAGAACAUGAUGUGGUUUACUUAGCUGUCUGUUUGCUUCAUAUAUAUAUACUUAUUUAUGUGUAACUGGGAUAUGUAUCAUACAUAAAGCUUUUGUAAAAAAAGAAAAAAGCUCAUUGGAAAAAGUGAUUCAACCUGUUCUUUAUAUUGAAAGAAAAUAAAUGAAUAAUUAAUAUGUAUUCUCUACAA